Molecule: ribosomal RNA, 465 nt
Filed under: uncultured bacterium
Lineage: Bacteria
Description: partial 16S ribosomal RNA
Rfam family: Bacterial small subunit ribosomal RNA
Source: RNAcentral
GACGAACGCUGGCGGCGUGCUUAACACAUGCAAGUCGAACGGAAAGGCCCUGCUUGCAGGGUACUCGAGUGGCGAACGGGUGAGUAACACGUGGGUGAUCUGCCCUGCACUUCGGGAUAAGCCUGGGAAACUGGGUCUAAUACCGGAUAGGAGCCAUUUUUAGUGUGAUGGUUGGAAAGUUUUUUCGGUGUAGGAUGAGCUCGCGGCCUAUCAGCUUGUUGGUGGGGUAAUGGCCUACCAAGGCGGCGACGGGUAGCCGGCCUGAGAGGGUGGACGGCCACAUUGGGACUGAGAUACGGCCCAGACUCCUACGGGAGGCAGCAGUGGGGAAGAUUGCACAAUGGGCGCAAGCCUGAUGCAGCGACGCCGCGUGGGGGAUGACGGCCUUCGGGUUGUAAACUCCUAUCGCUAGGGACGAAGCUUUUUGUGACGGUACCUAGAUAAGAAGCACCGGCUAACUACGUG